Non-coding RNA from Acanthosepion pharaonis, 99 nucleotides. The record is from the annotation of a GenBank genome assembly. Lineage: Eukaryota; Metazoa; Mollusca; Cephalopoda; Sepiida; Sepiidae.
CUUGAAACACCGCUUCCCGUACGUUCACCGAAGUUAAGCAACUUCGAACCUGGUCAGUACCUAGAUACGUAACCGCUUUGUAAUAACAGGUGCUGUAAG